GACGGAAGGUGCAAGCGUUAUCCGGAAUCACUGGGCGUAAAGCGUGCGUAGGUGGCGCGUUAAGUGAGAUGUUAAAUCGUGUGGCUCAACCAUAUCGAUGCAUCUCAUACUGGCGUGCUAGAGGACAGCAGAGGCAAGUGGAAUUGGUAGUGUAGCAGUGAAAUGCGUAGAUAUUACCAGGAACACCAAUGGCGAAGGCAGCUUGCUGGGCUACUCCUGACACUGAGGUACGAAAGCGUGGGGAGCGAACAGG
Molecule: ribosomal RNA, 253 nt
Filed under: uncultured bacterium
Lineage: Bacteria
Description: partial 16S ribosomal RNA
Rfam family: Bacterial small subunit ribosomal RNA
Source: RNAcentral